RNAcentral lists this long non-coding RNA (1906 nucleotides) under Homo sapiens (human). RNAcentral's name for it is "non-protein coding lnc-BIRC8-3:1". Lineage: Eukaryota; Metazoa; Chordata; Mammalia; Primates; Hominidae. The record is from RNAcentral.
CAUGUGAGGUUUCUCUCCUGUAUGAAUUCUCCUAUGUUUUGCAUAGGAUGAAGCUUGACUGAAGACCUUGCCACAGUCAUGACAUUUGUAAGGUUUCUCUCCAGCGUUGAGUUCACCGAUGAACUGCAAGGUAUGAACAAUGUCUGAAAAAUCUGCCACAUUUAUUACCCUAGUAUGAUCUCUCUUCCUUAUGGAUUCUCCAGUGAUUCACAAUGGUUGUAGCAUUACUGAAGACUUUGUGACAAUCAUUACCUUAGUAAAGUUUCCCUACACCAUGGAUUGCCUGACGGUAAACAAGUGUUGACUGCCUACUAAAGGCUUUGCCACACUCAUUACACUGGUAAGGUUUCUCUCCAGUGUGAAUUCUAGCAUGUUGUGCCAGGUGCGAAUCAUGCCCAAAAGCCUUGUCACAAACUCUUACAUUUUUAUGGUUUCUCUCCAGUAUGAAUUCUCCUGUCUUUCACGGUUUGAUGUGCGACUGUAAACUUUGUGACAUUCUUCACAUUUAUAAGCUUUCUCUCCAGUAUGAAUUCUCCUGUCUUCUGAGGCUUGAUUUGCCACUGUAAACUUUAUCACAUGCUUCACAUUUCUAAGGUUUCUCCCCAGUAUGAAUUCUAUGAUGACCUGCAAGGUGUGCUUGUUGAUUAAAAACCUCACCACAUUCAUUACACUUGUUUUUCUCCAGUAUGAAGUCUACGAUGGCAUGUAAGGUUUGACUUCUGACUAAAGGUCUUGCCACACUCAUUACACUUGUAAGGUUUCUCUCCAGUAUGAAGUCUAUGGUGGCAUAUAAGGGAUGACUUCUGACUAAAGUUCUUGCCACACUCAUUACACUUAUAAGGUUUCUCUCCAGUAUGAAGUCUAUGAUGGCAUAUAAAAUAUGACUUCCGACUAAAGGUCUUGCCACACUCAUUACACUUGUAAGGUUUCUCUCCAGUAUGAAUUCUCCUAUGUCCUUCAAGGUUUGAUUUCACACGGAAAGCUUUGUCACAUUCUUCACAUUUGUAAGGUUUCUCUCCGGUAUGAAGUCUACGAUGGCAUGUAAGGGAUGACGUCCGACUGAAGGUCUUGCCACACUCAUUACACUUGUAAGGAUUCUCUUCAGUAUGAAUUUUCUGAUGUAUUUCAAGGUUUGAUUUGAAACUGUAAGCUUUGUCACUAUCUUCACAUUUGUAAGGGUUCUCUCCACUAUGAAGUCUACGAUGGCGUUUAAGGGUUAACUGCUGAUUGAAGGUCUUGCCACACUCCUUACACUUGUAAGGUUUCUCUCCAGAAUGAAGUCUACGAUGGCAGGUAAGGGAUGACUUCCAACUAAAGGUCUUGCCGCACUCAUUACACUUGUAAGCUUUCUCUCCAGUAUGAAGUCUAUGAUGGCAUGUGAGGUAUGACUUCCGACUAAAGGUCUUGCCACACUCAUUACACUUGUAUGGUUUCUCUCCAGUAUGAAUUCUCCUAUGUCUUUCAAGGUUUGAUUUGAAACGGAAAGCUUUGUCACAUUCUUCACAUUUGUAAGGUUGCUCUCCAGUAUGACGUCUACGAUGGCAUGUAAGGGAUGAUGUCCGGCUAAAGGUUUCUCUCCAGUAUGAAGUCUACGAUGGCAUGUAAGGGAUGACGUCUGACUGAAGGUCUUGCCACACUCAUUACACUUGUAAGGAUUCUCACCAGUGUGACAUCUACGAUGGCAUGCUAGGUUUCGCUUCUGAUUAAAGAGCUUGCCACAUACAUCACAUUUAUAUUUGUCUGCUAAAUGGAUUAUCUGAUGUUUCCUUAAGAGUGAGCUGUAAUUAAAGGCUUUGCCACUCUCAUUACAUUGGAAAGAUUUUUCUCUCAUGUGUACUUCCUGUUUUUGUGUGAGUAAUGAAGAAUUCCAGAAAUUAUUCCCAUGGUUAUUAGAUAUAUGGGUUUU